UGGAUUUUCAACCCUUGAAAUAGCAACAAUAAAAUAAGGUAAAGUACCUGACCACAUGACAUUCAUGUCUUGUUCAGAUUCAAGAUUCUGUACUGUAUUGUGAUAUGUCCGUAUAAAUUUAUUUCAGUUUCAUUCUAUUCUGAUUGUCAUUUCAUUUAUUUCCAAACAGUUUCGAUUUCCAGUUCACACAAACCCAAUUUCCAGUCAGGUUCCCAAACAGAGCUUCUUUACAAAAUCACUUCUAGAUGUCAUAAUUGGUGGCACUGUACCUUUUGGUUGUAUUUUUCUUCAACUUUUUUUCAUUCUAAACAGCAUUUGGUCGCAUCAGAUGUACUACAUGUUUCACUUCCUUUUCUUAGUUUUUUUAGUUCUUCUGACUGCUCAGAAGCUACAGUUCUGCUGUGCUAUUUUCAUUUGUGUGCUGAGGUAAAGACAUACAAUGCUAAUGCACCUUAAGCUUUCUAACCUUGCUUUAUUGAAAUUAGAAGUCUGCUGACAAAGGAAUUGAAACAAAUGUCAACUGUGUGCUUUGUGAAACUGGGGAUCAGUUUUUAAAUUGUGUUCUCCUAAUGACACAUUUUGACUUUGAUGCAGCUAUCAGGUUAAUACCACUCUGAUGGAAAAUUGAUACAGAGAACUAUUUCUCUCUGGCUGGUUACUAUAAUUGCUGAAUAAUAUUCAGUUAACAGAAAAACAAUGGACUGAUUUGCUAUUUAGACAUGUAAAAGACCUGAUUCAGUGAUGUUUUCUUUUGAACAAUUAGUUUUCUUUGCAGCUUUGGCCAAAAUUGUAUUUUGUGUGAUUGAGAUUGCUGCAAAACGUCUUUCUUUCUCUUCCUUUCUUUAUUACCAUAAGUAGUUUUUUUAAAACUACAUCCUCAUUUUUUCUUUCAUGUCAUUUGGAUAACUAAGGUGGUAGCGGAGUAUGUUGCUCUUUUCAAUCCCAUAAUCCCUCUUAUUUUGGUAGUUAAAUAU
This 974-nucleotide long non-coding RNA is filed under the name Castor canadensis (American beaver). Its description in RNAcentral is "lncRNA (ENSCCNG00000000916.1)". Lineage: Eukaryota; Metazoa; Chordata; Mammalia; Rodentia; Castoridae. The record is from RNAcentral.